CGCUUCUCAAGAAUUCCAAGUGACGGCAAAUAACAUACAACAAGUGUAUUGUCCAAGAGGAGCUUCACAUCUCGGAGAUUGUUUCUAUGGACGUCUUGACUUCGAAAAUUCUAUGUUAUCUCCAUGGGCACCAGGUAAUUGCAACGAAGCAAUAAUGCAUAGAACAUAUCGUGGUGGUGUACAAUGCAGCAAUUGAAUAUUUAAAAUACUUUGAAAAAUUGGAUUCGUUUAAUAAAACUUGCAAUUCACAUUUUUUUUCAAACAUUAUAAAUUCUUUUGAAUAAAUAGCUGCCAGCAAGAUGUGUACACAAUGUUAUGUAGCAUACUCUCCAAUAAAUCAAUUACCGAA
This 349-nucleotide long non-coding RNA is filed under the name Mytilus galloprovincialis (Mediterranean mussel). The record is from RNAcentral. Lineage: Eukaryota; Metazoa; Mollusca; Bivalvia; Mytilida; Mytilidae.